Molecule: ribosomal RNA, 495 nt
Filed under: uncultured bacterium
Lineage: Bacteria
Description: partial 16S ribosomal RNA
Rfam family: Bacterial small subunit ribosomal RNA
Source: RNAcentral
GAUGAACGCUGGCGGCGUGCUUAACACAUGCAAGUCGAACGAAGCACCUCUCCCGAAGAUUGUCUCAGCUUGCUGUCGAUUGAUUCAUUUAAGGUGACUUAGUGUCGGACUGGUGAGUAACGCGUGGGUAACCUGCCUCAUAGAUGGGGACAACAGUUGGAAACGACUGCUAAUACCGCAUAGUAAGAAGAAUUCGCAUGUUUUCUUCUUGAAAGAUUUAUCGCUAUGAGAUGGAACCGCGUCUGAUUAGCUAGUUGGUAAGGUAACGGCUUACCAAGGCGACGAUCAGUAGCCGGCUAGAGAGAGUGGACGGACACAUUGGGACUGAGCAACAGCCCAAAAUCCUACGGGAGGCAGCAGAGGGGAAUAUUGCACAAUGGGGGAAACCAUGAUGCAGCGACGCCGGGUGAGUGAAGAAGUAUGGCGGUAUGUAAAGCUCUAUCAGCAGGGAAGAUAAUGACGGUACCUGACUAAGAAGCCCCGGCUAACUACGUG